RNAcentral lists this long non-coding RNA (3033 nucleotides) under Homo sapiens (human). RNAcentral's name for it is "HSALNT0098476". The record is from RNAcentral. Lineage: Eukaryota; Metazoa; Chordata; Mammalia; Primates; Hominidae.
GUUCAGCCGUGCCCCUCCUCCGAGCCCUGGGGUCCAGUGCUGACACGCCAGGACAGCUCAGCCUGCCAGCACCCAGGCCUCACCCUCCUGCUGUGUGAAAUGGGACCCAGUCCCCCUCAGUUGCGGAGCUCAGCGAGCUGGCCAGCGUGCUUCCAAGCCAGUGGGUUCCUGGUAGGCUCCUGCUGGGCGGGGUCUCAGGGCACCCUGUCUUGGAAAGGGGCUUAGGGCCAGACCUUUCUCUGCCUUACACCAGGGGCUACAACUUGGCCUCCAGGCGGCAGCUGGGGGUUCCUGAGGAGGGUCCACAUCCUCCCUUCCCUCUGGCUGGUUCCAGCAGGGAUUCCAAACAGGCCUGGGACCCAGUUCUCCUCUUACUGGUGCCAGGCAAGAGGUUCUAACCCGCUCCUGCCCUCGGGGGCUUCCAGUCCAAAGCAAGACACUAUUCUUUCUUUCCUUAACCUGCUCCCACUGUGCCUAUCCACGAGUGACUUCAUCUACCUUUCAAGGAAUGUAUAGCUGGCCCAUUUUACGGGGGAGGAAACUGAGGCUCAGCAAGAAGAAACUUGCCCAAAGCCCCACCGUAAAGUGUUAAAGCUGGGAGGUGGGCCAAAGAAAGCCUCUCCCUGUGCUCUGCUGCCGACGGAGAGGACCAGCCCCAGGCUUCAUGGGAGGUGAUGAAGGAAGUCAGCCUGGGGAGACUGUGGAGUCUGGCAUGCAGCCAGGCCCUUGCUCUGGGGCCCCCAACCCAGCCCUCAAAGUGGGAGGUGGUGCCUGCUGAGAAAAAAAGGAAGGAAGAACCCGAGAGAGGAAGCUGAAUAGGAAUGGGUUGGGGCAGGGUCUCCUGCCUCCGGUCAGAGAUGAGGGUCCAGGUGGAGGAUGUCGAGGGACCUGGCUCAACCUCAGGGUUCCGCUCAACUCAAAGUUGGGACGAGGCCCUGGCAGGAAAAGCUCUAGAACCUGUCAGGCCCUGCAAAGCUGAAGGAUGCGUCCAACAGGACCAGAUCUUUGUUGUUCCUGCCACAGGGAGGCUCGUUCCAUCCCUUCCCCAUCUAACAAAACUCCUAUGCAUCCUUGAUACCCAGCUUUCAAUGUCACCUCCCUGUUGACACAGCCAGGGAGCCAGUGUAACUGUCAGCUCAACACCUAGUUCCUUCCUGCCAACAGCGGCAAGAACCAUUUCCUCUGUGCUGCACUUCACAAGCCUGGGCCCUGCUUCUCAAAAGGAGCCCGCAUGGGAGACCGGGGCCCGACCAGCAGAGGGUGUGGGCAGGGCCAGGGACCACCUUGUGUCCAGCUCAGGGCAGGCCUGAUGUGAGAAAUGUGCACGGAACAGAGCCAAUCACACAGGUCCAAGGUCACCCAGUCUGGCAGCAAUGCCAACAACUGACAGUUGGGAGAUUACAAAACACCUGGCUUCUCAUGGCAAGCCUGGUCCCACUUGUUUCUGCCUGGCCCCCUCACUGGGAGCGAGAGCUUUCCCUCCAGGUCACCCAGGCCCAACCUCUGCCUGCCCAUCAUCGGGGAAUGGGUUUGUGACCCCUGGCCUGGGCCAAGUGCACACCCUGACAGGCAUGUCUACACACACAGCCUCCCGAACUCCUGCCAACAAACCAGCCAAGCAAACAACGGCCAAGGGAGACUCAGGAAAUCCCCAAAUAACUGAAACAGCAGAUGCCUGGCCCAUCCCAGUCCUCCUGGACCAGACACUUUGGAGGGAUGGGGAACAAGGGCACCUAGAUGUUUAACAAAUUCCCCAGAAGUUGUCACAGCACAGCUAGAUUUGGGAAUCUCUACCCUAGCUAACCUCAGAAAGCUGGGGAGCCCAUAGUUCUGCUGGUGCAGAACAGUCACCAUAAUAACCAUGCUGUUUCCCCGGCGCCAACUUGGUGAGUCCUCCCAGCAACACUGGCAGGUCAGGACACCAAGGCUCAGAGAGGUGAGGUCCAAGGCCAGUCAGCUGGAAUCGUGAGUGCGCAGGUGCAUGACCUAAGCAGUCUGGCCAUAAAGCACCCAUGACUAGCCACCAAGCCAGCAGCCUUGACUGCUCCUCUUAUGUCAGGAUGUCUUGCAGAUGGCUGAGUAGUGCCAGGCCCAAGGCACUCCUGCAGAGGCCCAGGCCUGUGGGUGUCUGCUCUGUGGCCAGCCCCCUACAAAGGCACCCACUCCCCAGGGCAGGGAAGGUGGUAAGGAGCUGUGAAAGCAAGCCAGGAGACAGAAGGGCCUCCAGCCGUGGGUAAGAAUGUCAGCCCUCACAGACUCACACAUGACAGUGACUUCUAGCGAGAUUCUUGCCUACAGACCGUGGGCAAGGGCUUCCCCUCCCGAGCCUCAGUAUCUUCAUCUGUAAAAUGGGAACAGCCCAAUAACUACCUCCCAGUUUCCCAUCAAGGACUGCUCCAAGGCAACAGCAGAAGCAACUUGUAAAGUUUGAACUUAGCUUGGGUGUGAAUGAUCAUUAUUAGCGAAUACGACACGCUGACCUCCAUUUCCAACCUCAAGCAGAGCUUGAAGGGUGCCACUUCCGGGGCAGCAGGCAGAUAUGCCACUCUAGGGGAAUACCUCAGCUGGUAAGAGUGGAUCCUGGUUCUUUAAGCCCUGCCAGGAACAGGGGUGGCGUAGAAGGGUUACACCCACUUCAUGGCUGAGAAAACUGGAGCCGAGAGAAAGGAAGUAAGUUACUCUAGGCCACAAGACCAGAGAGAACGGAAUUGGUCCUAGUUGGCCUCCUAGGCCCAAACUCCCCCAAGCCAUAACUCCUGUGGCAUCAGUAGCUGGAGGAAAUCACCUAAUCCCGAGUCUCCAAGCCAUACAGGAGGCUGGGAGAGCACUCUCUUUCAGGCACCCAUCUUUAGCUCUGUAGUACAGAGAAGCAAGCAAGGCCCAGAGUUGGAGCUAGCAACUUGCUCAAGGUCAAAUAGCAAGGGUGGCCAGGUGGCCUCCCCUAACAACUGCUCUGCCCGUCCACAUCUCCAUGCUGUCCUAUCACGGAGCUCUGUGUGAACGGGUCUUGAGAGUCCCGUCGCUGAGCCCCGU